This 1095-nucleotide long non-coding RNA is filed under the name Pogona vitticeps (central bearded dragon). RNAcentral describes it as "lncRNA (ENSPVIG00000015991.1)". The record is from RNAcentral. Lineage: Eukaryota; Metazoa; Chordata; Lepidosauria; Squamata; Agamidae.
AUGCAAACGGGGGAUGCAUGCAACGCGCCGCCUUCCCUGCCCGAGAACCGUCUCUGGACGCGCACCUCCAGCCCGGCCGCCGUUCGUCCAGGGUCCCGGGCAGGUCUCGGACGCCCCUCCGCCGCCCGAUCAAAGGACCCGUGGCGCCGGCCAGCCAGGCGGGCCCGAGCGAGAAGGACCAGUGCGCACGCGCCCGCAGCAUGCGGAGCAUCUCCCGGCUGCAGGGACCGCCAAUCCGAGGCCCGGCCCCACCCCCAGCCCUGUGCCAAAGGGACUACAGAGCAGGGGUGGGGGGGGGCUCAGUCCCGGCGCGGUCUCGGCGUGCGCGCCCCCGGCUCGUCUGGUCGGGGAGAGGUCCGCCGGCGCGUGCAGGCAGGGUUUGCAAACGUCCGCUUUGUGGUCUACCGCCCCCACAAUCCUCAGGCCACCGCGGUUGCCCAGGGUUGCUGCAGAAUAGCUCCCGAGCGCUAUUUUUUCGGAGGAGAGUCACCCACCCAGAAUCCCCCGUGGCCAGGCAGGCGCCGGGCCCUCUGCUCGGGCAUUCUGGGAACUCCCACCCAAACAGCAGCUUUCCAAAGUUCUGGUUGCAGGAGAGGCAGGCAGGCCGGCUUGACUGCCCCUUCUUGUACCGCGGGGGCGCCCAGCAGAAAUAAGAAAGAAAGAAAGAAAGAAAGAAAGAAAGAAAGAAAGAAAGAAAGAAAGAAGGAAGGAAGGAAGGAAAGAAGGAAAGGCUUCAGUCCAACUGUGGAGCCCGACAAGGAGCAGAAGAGGCCAUCAAAGAGUCCGGCAGAGGCUUGGGGUUUGGACAGCAGCCGCGCGGUGCUGAGGGCGUCUUCCUGCCGUGGGAGCGCGCGCCUGCCCAGCUCUUUCGAUGCCAUCUCACCUCCUUGGCUGUGCGCGGGCACGCGCUCUACCACAAGGCGGCGCCUACGCUCCCCUUGGGUCCGGCCCUGCUCCGCCCAGCACCUCUUUGAGUCUCAUCCUGCUACAGGAGUCUCAGGAGGAGUGGAGGUGUGGAAAAAGCACCAGCUUUUGAGGAACACCGGUCUCUUCCUACCACUAGUGCCAAGAGGGGGGCUGGCACAAACUGAGUAA